Molecule: non-coding RNA, 586 nt
Organism: Lactuca sativa (garden lettuce)
Lineage: Eukaryota; Viridiplantae; Streptophyta; Magnoliopsida; Asterales; Asteraceae
Source: RefSeq, a predicted model, not a curated record
GUUGUUUCAGUUGGGCCAUGAGAAGUAUAAGUUCUAAAGUUGCAACUUUGGGUCAGGAAGGAGUACGCUGAGCGUACUAGGCGCGCCCUAGUACGCUGGGCGUACACUCAUGUACGUUGGACGUACUCAUGUCAGGAGAAAACCCUAAUAUUUAGGGUUUGGGGACUAUAUUAACACCCUUAUGGAUCAUUUCCUCUGAUUAUCCUCAGCAUCCACUGCCUACAUUCGUCCUCCCCAAAAUCCUAGCUCUUCCUUGUGGAUGUAAGCUUAUUUGGUGUGUUUUAGAGUGUUUCAAGAGGAAGGCAUUGCAUCCAAGUGUUGGAGAAGAAGAUCAAGUUCAUAGAUCUGAAGUUAGUUUGUGCUCAAGAAGCUCCUAAAGUUCGGGAUUCCCGGUGAGACAACAGUUAGAGAAUUACAGUAUUUCAGCACUACUUGCGAGGUACAUCAGGGGAUUGCGACAAGGCGAAGGCGUGAUCGUACAGCUCCUCAUAUUUAUGUUUAUGUUUCUGGGAUACUCUGAUAUUAUACCUUUUGAAAACAAGUUUUGUAAUAACUAAUGGUUUUUGGAUUGUUUAAAAAGUUUUAA